This is a small nucleolar RNA of Lottia gigantea (owl limpet), 133 nucleotides long. NCBI's taxonomy places the organism in Eukaryota, Metazoa, Mollusca, Gastropoda, Lottiidae. The record is from Rfam.
CCUUGGCUUGAUCGAAGUCACUUCAGUUUUGUUUGAAUUGUGGUGGUCAAAAGUAAGCCAAAAUAAAAUCUUUCAGACGGUCGCUAUUAAGUUCUAAAAUAACUUAUUAGCAUUACCAAAUGUCAGUACAUAU